AUUAGAGUUUGAUCAUGGCUCAGAUUGAACGCUGGCGGCAUGCCUUACACAUGCAAGUCGAACGGCAGCACGGGAGCAAUCCUGGUGGCGAGUGGCGAACGGGUGAGUAAUAUAUCGGAACGUGCCCAGUCGUGGGGGAUAACGUAGAGAAAUUUACGCUAAUACCGCAUACGAUCUAAGGAUGAAAGCGGGGGACUUCGCAAGAGGCCUCGCGCGAUUGGAGCGGCUGAUAUCAGAUUAGGUUGUUGGUGAGGUAAAAGCUCACCAAGCCGACGAUCUGUAGCUGGUUUGAGAGAACGACCAGCCACACUGGGACUGAGACACGGCCCAGACUCCUACGGGAGGCAGCAGUGGGGAAUAUUGGACAAUGGGCGCAAGCCUGAUCCAGCCAUGCCGCGUGCAGGAUGACGGUCCUAUGGAUUGUAAACUGCUUUUAUACGAGAAGAAACAACUCUACGUGUAGAGUCUUGACGGUAUCGUAAGAAUAAGGAUCGGCUAACUCCGUGCCAGCAGCCGCGGUAAUACGGAGGAUCCAAGCGUUAUCCGGAAUCAUUGGGUUUAAAGGGUCCGUAGGCGGUCAGAUAAGUCAGUGGUGAAAGCCCAUCGCUCAACGGUGGAACGGCCAUUGAUACUGUCUGACUUGAAUUAUUAGGAAGUAACUAGAAUAUGUAGUGUAGCGGUGAAAUGCUUAGAGAUUACAUGGAAUACCAAUUGCGAAGGCAGGUUACUACUAAUAUAUUGACGCUGAUGGACGAAAGCGUGGGUAGCGAACAGGAUUAGAUACCCUGGUAGUCCACGCCGUAAACGAUGGAUACUAGCUGUUGGAAGCAAUUUCAGUGGCUAAGCGAAAGUGAUAAGUAUCCCACCUGGGGAGUACGUUCGCAAGAAUGAAACUCAAAGGAAUUGACGGGGGCCCGCACAAGCGGUGGAGCAUGUGGUUUAAUUCGAUGCAACGCGAAGAACCUUACCUGGUCUUGACAUAUCUAGAAUCCUGCAGAGAUGCGGGAGUGCCUUCGGGAAUUAGAAUACAGGUGCUGCAUGGCUGUCGUCAGCUCGUGUCGUGAGAUGUUGGGUUAAGUCCCGCAACGAGCGCAACCCUUGUCCUUAGUUACCAGCGGGUUAAGCCGGGAACUCUAAGGAUACUGCCAGUGACAAACUGGAGGAAGGCGGGGACGACGUCAAGUCAUCAUGGCCCUUACGACCAGGGCUACACACGUGCUACAAUGGUAGGUACAGAGGGCAGCUACACAGCGAUGUGAUGCGAAUCUCAAAAAGCCUAUCGUAGUCCAGAUUGGAGUCUGCAACUCGACUCCAUGAAGUAGGAAUCGCUAGUAAUCGCGGAUCAGAAUGCCGCGGUGAAUACGUUCCCGGGCCUUGUACACACCGCCCGUCACACCAUGGGAGUUGAUUGCACCAGAAGUGGAUAGCUUAACCUUCGGGGGAGCGUUCACCACGGUGUGGUUGAUGACUGGGGUGAAGUCGUAACAAGGUACCAAU
RNAcentral lists this ribosomal RNA (1497 nucleotides) under uncultured bacterium. RNAcentral's name for it is "partial 16S ribosomal RNA". It matches the Rfam family "Bacterial small subunit ribosomal RNA". The record is from RNAcentral.